Molecule: ribosomal RNA, 381 nt
Filed under: uncultured marine Chaetocerotaceae
Lineage: Eukaryota; Bacillariophyta; Thalassiosirophyceae; Chaetocerotales; Chaetocerotaceae
Description: SSU rRNA
Rfam family: Eukaryotic small subunit ribosomal RNA
Source: RNAcentral
AGCUCCAAUAGCGUAUAUUAAAGUUGCUGCAGUUAAAAAGCUCGUAGUUGCAUUUCCGAGGCAAGGGAUUAGUCCGACCUUUGGUGGGUAUUUAAUCCUCUUGCCUCGUCCUUGAGUGGUGCUUCUUGGUAUUAAGUUAUCGAGGAGAUAGCCGCUCAUCGUUUACUGUGAGAAAAUUAGAGUGUUCAAAGCAGGCUUAUGCCGUUGAAUAUAUUAGCAUGGAAUAAUAAGAUAGGACCUCGGUACUAUUUUGUUGGUUUGAGAACCAAGGUAAUGAUGAAUAGGGACAGUUGGGGGUAUUCGUAUUCAGUUGUCAGAGGUGAAAUUCUUAGAUUUACGGAAGACGAACGACUGCGAAAGCAUUUACCAAGGAUGUUUGCA